AGUGAACGCUGGCGGUAGGCCUAACACAUGCAAGUCGAACGGCAGCACAGUAAGAGCUUGCUCUUACGGGUGGCGAGUGGCGGACGGGUGAGGUAUACAUCGGAAUCUACUUUUUCGUGGGGGAUAACGUAGGGAAACUUACGCUAAUACCGCAUACGACCUACGGGUGAAAGCAGGGGAUCUUCGGACCUUGCGCGAUUGAAUGAGCCGAUGUCGGAUUAGCUAGUUGGCGGGGUAAAGGCCCACCAAGGCGACGAUCCGUAGCUGGUCUGAGAGGAUGAUCAGCCAGACUGGAACUGAGACAGAGUCCAGACUCCUACGGGAGGCAGCAGUGGGGAAUAUUGGACAAUGGGCGAAAGCCUGAUCCAGCCAUACCGCGUGAGUGAAGAAGGCCUUCGGGUUGUAAAGCCAUUUUGUUGGGAAAGAAAAGCAGCAGGUUAAUACCCCGCUGUUCUGACGGUACCCAAAGAAUAAGCACCGGCUAACUUCGUG
RNAcentral lists this ribosomal RNA (492 nucleotides) under uncultured bacterium. Its description in RNAcentral is "partial 16S ribosomal RNA". It matches the Rfam family "Bacterial small subunit ribosomal RNA", at positions 29 to 507 of the family's 1533-position model. The record is from RNAcentral.